Non-coding RNA from Callithrix jacchus (white-tufted-ear marmoset), 101 nucleotides. NCBI's taxonomy places the organism in Eukaryota, Metazoa, Chordata, Mammalia, Primates, Cebidae. The record is from Rfam.
UCAUCUAGGCAAUUCCACCCUGAACACACCCUAUCUCAGAAGCUAAGGCCUGGUUAGUACUUGGAUGGGAGACCCCCUGUAAAUACCAGGUGCCAGAGGCU